Molecule: ribosomal RNA, 484 nt
Filed under: uncultured bacterium
Lineage: Bacteria
Description: partial 16S ribosomal RNA
Rfam family: Bacterial small subunit ribosomal RNA
Source: RNAcentral
AUUGAACGCUGGCGGCAUGCUUUACACAUGCAAGUCGAACGGCAGCGCGGGCUUCGGCCUGGCGGCGAGUGGCGAACGGGUGAGUAAUACAUCGGAACUUGCCCAGUAGUGGGGGAUAGCUCGGCGAAAGCCGGAUUAAUACCGCAUACGACCUGAGGGUGAAAGCGGGGGAUCUUCGGACCUCUCGCUAUUGGAGCGGCCGAUGGCAGAUUAGCUAGUUGGUGGGGUAAAGGCCUACCAAGGCGACGAUCUGUAGCUGGUCUGAGAGGACGACCAGCCACACUGGGAGUGAGACACGGCCCAGACUCCUACGGGGGGACGCAGUGGGGACUUUUAGACAAGGGGGGAAAGCCUAAUCCAGCAAUGCCGGGUGUGUGAUGAAGGCCUUCGGGUUGUAAAGCACUUUUGGCGGGAACGAAAAGGACUGUGCCAAUACCACGGUUCGAUGACGGUACCCGAAGAAUAAGCACCGGCUAACUACGUG